GACGAACGCUGGCGGCGUGCCUAAUACAUGCAAGUAGAACGCACAGUUUAUACCUUGGCUUGCUCCACCAUAGACAGUGAGUUGCGAACGGGGGAGUAACGCGUAGGUAACCUGCCUGGUAGCGGGGGAUAAGUAUAGGCAACGAUAGCUAAUACCGCAUCAUAUUGACUAUUGCAUGAAAAUUGAUUGAAAGAUGAUAUUGCAUCACUACCAGAUGGACCUGCGUUGGAUUAGCUAGAAGGGGAGGUAACGGCUCACCUAGGCGACGAUAAAUAGCCGACCAGCAUAGGAGAUAUGCCACACUGGGACGGAGAGACGGACCGGACCCCUACAGGAGGCAGCAGUAGGGAAUCUUCGGCAAAGGACGAAAGUCUGACCGAGCAACGCCGCGUGAGUGAAGAAGGUUUUCGGAUCGUAAAGGUCUGUUGUAAGAGAAGAACGGGUGUGAGUGUGGAAAGUGCACACUGUGACGGUACCUUACCAGAAAGCGACGGCUAACUACGUG
Molecule: ribosomal RNA, 505 nt
Filed under: uncultured bacterium
Lineage: Bacteria
Description: partial 16S ribosomal RNA
Rfam family: Bacterial small subunit ribosomal RNA
Source: RNAcentral